Molecule: ribosomal RNA, 497 nt
Filed under: uncultured bacterium
Lineage: Bacteria
Description: partial 16S ribosomal RNA
Rfam family: Bacterial small subunit ribosomal RNA
Source: RNAcentral
GAUGAACGCUGGCGGCGUGCCUAAUACAUGCAAGUCGAGCGAACAGACGAGGAGUUUGCUCCUCUGACGUUAGCGGAGGACGGGUGUGUAACAUGUGGAUAAUCUACCUAUCAGACUGGGAUCAUCUCGGGAAUCCGGCUCUUACACCGGAUAAUAUAUUGAACCGCAUGGUUCAUUAGUGAAAGACGGCUUUGCUGUCACUUCUAGAUGGAUCCGCGCCGCAUUAGCUAGUUGGUAAGUUACCGGCUUAUCAAGGCGACGAUGCGUAGACGACGUGAGAGAGGGGUCGGCCACACGAGAGCGGAGACACGGACCAGACGCCUACGGGAGGCAGCAGUAGGGAAUCGGCCGCAGAGGUGGAGAGCAUUACGGAGCAACGCCGCGUGAGUGAUGAAGGUCUUCGGAUCGUAAAACUCUGUUAUGAGUUAAGAACAAAUGUGUAAGUAACUAAGCACGUCUUGACGGUACCUAAUCAGAAAGCCACGGCUAACUACGUG